RNAcentral lists this non-coding RNA (31 nucleotides) under Homo sapiens (human). The record is from RNAcentral. Lineage: Eukaryota; Metazoa; Chordata; Mammalia; Primates; Hominidae.
UGCGCUGUGUAACACAGAUUCUCCUCUGCGC